CGUGCAGGAGCACAUGUUAUUAGCUAUGACCAGGAGCCAGGAAAAUUAAGCUCUUGCCGUAUUUUGGAAGAAUAAAAACAGCCCCGUGGACAAGACGUCCUCAGUGAUCGAGGAAGGUCUGAGGAGCAAAAGGAGAAAUCCGGCCAAGGAGGAACUCGUGCCUGAUUAGCAAGUUGGUGAGGCAAUAGCUUACCAUGAUGAUGAUAAGUAGCUGGUACGAGAGGAUGAUUAGGCACAGUGGGAAUGAGACAUGGCCCGGAUUCUUAUGGGAGGCAGCAGUGGGGAAUUUUCCGCAUUGGACGAAAGUCUGACGGAGCAAUG
Molecule: non-coding RNA, 321 nt
Filed under: Setaria italica (foxtail millet)
Lineage: Eukaryota; Viridiplantae; Streptophyta; Magnoliopsida; Poales; Poaceae
Description: Bacterial small subunit ribosomal RNA
Rfam family: Bacterial small subunit ribosomal RNA
Source: Rfam by way of RNAcentral